UGCUCGUCGGCAGCAAGGUGUAAUUUUUCCAUGUCCAGCAGAGAUCAGGAACACACGAGAUGUUAUUCAUCCAUCUCAGAAACGACAGCAAACGGACAUUUCUGAAGAUUUCAUCUCAAUGGAUUCAGUUGAACCAGUUAUACCACAAGCUUUCCAAAGCUGUUUUAGCAUGGAAUUCACAGAAAGUGCUGCUCUGCUCCAGCUAUGCCACAAUUCAGUAGAGAAGUGACACCGGUUUGCCUUGACAAAGCAAUACAACCAGCUCAAAACACAAGGUAAAUUCCCCUCUACUUUCCAAACUUUUCCCUACCAUUAUUUUUUUUUAGUGGCACAUACAAACAGAAGUCUGAAGCACCAGUUUCCAGGACUCACAACUCUGCAUUCACGCUCUUUCAUAAGACUCAUGACUUUCUUUUUUUUUAAGAAGGAAAUACACCUGGAGUGCCCAAGCACUGAGAACAAGCCCCCUCCUGAGAAGUUGCAGGAUGGUGAAUGCAGGAGUGGAUUUAAGCCACAGAGCUUUGCCUGAUAGGGUUACAUUUGGGAAGAAAGAGAGAGACUGAGCAGACACGCAAAAUAAACAGGUAGGAAAUUAUUUCUGCAGC
Molecule: long non-coding RNA, 605 nt
Organism: Oxyura jamaicensis (ruddy duck)
Lineage: Eukaryota; Metazoa; Chordata; Aves; Anseriformes; Anatidae
Exons: 3
Source: RefSeq, a predicted model, not a curated record